Molecule: long non-coding RNA, 421 nt
Filed under: Elaeis guineensis (African oil palm)
Lineage: Eukaryota; Viridiplantae; Streptophyta; Magnoliopsida; Arecales; Arecaceae
Description: long non-coding RNA (EGUI_LNC067935)
Source: RNAcentral
AACCUAUAUACAAAAGGAUCCAAAAUCUACACGAGAAAGUCUGAGAUCAACGAAAUACCCAAAAGAAAAGGAGAGAGGAUCCACAAUAUACAAGAGAGAUUGUGAAAGAGAAAAGUAAGAGCAUUCAAAGAGAGGAUCUUUCAAGCCUAUUGUUCAACCUUGAUCAAGAGAUCUUUCAAAGCCUUCAAGAAGUCUUCAAUCAAAGAUCAUCCUCUUCUCAAGCAUUCAUUCAAGCGUUCAUACACCUUGAGAAAAUCCUAAAAGGGUUUCUUCAUUUGAGUAAAGUAUUUUUAUUGUUAUAUUCACUCAUUUAAGGAGCUGUUAUUGUAUUAAUUUGUGCUCUAAAUUUUCUUACUCUUUGUGAGUAAUUGUUCUUAUUUUUGGAGGAUUUCCAAAACAAGGAAAGAUUGAUCCGAACCUG